This 253-nucleotide ribosomal RNA is filed under the name Phocaeicola plebeius DSM 17135. RNAcentral's name for it is "partial 16S ribosomal RNA". It matches the Rfam family "Bacterial small subunit ribosomal RNA", at positions 524 to 776 of the family's 1533-position model. The record is from RNAcentral. Lineage: Bacteria; Pseudomonadati; Bacteroidota; Bacteroidia; Bacteroidales; Bacteroidaceae.
UACGGAGGAUGCGAGCGUUAUCCGGAUUUAUUGGGUUUAAAGGGAGCGCAGACGGGUCGUUAAGUCAGCUGUGAAAGUUUGGGGCUCAACCUUAAAAUUGCAGUUGAUACUGGCGUCCUUGAGUGCGGUUGAGGUGUGCGGAAUUCGUGGUGUAGCGGUGAAAUGCUUAGAUAUCACGAAGAACUCCGAUUGCGAAGGCAGUACACUAAGCCGUAACUGACGUUCAUGCUCGAAAGUGUGGGUAUCAAACAGG